GGUGGUUCUUGGGUGACACACCUCAGAAUCGGGCCCCCUCCUCUCUGGUUCCGGUUGUAUCACCCAAGAAUACA
Molecule: non-coding RNA, 74 nt
Organism: Myotis davidii
Lineage: Eukaryota; Metazoa; Chordata; Mammalia; Chiroptera; Vespertilionidae
Source: Rfam